UUCAAACCUAUGACGGAGAGAAGUAGCCGAUGCGGAUAAGCACAAAGAGAGUCCCGGGUGGUGUGAUCGGGGCGGCGGACGGUCGGUGAAUGGACUUCAGAGGGCGGACCGAACGGCGGAAGUCAAGUAGGGACCGACGGGUAUCCCACCCGUUAUCCAUCGGGGCGCGUAUGAUGGUGCGCGUAAGCGAGCGGGCGUUUUACAAAACGUCAAUUUGGGUGGUAUCGCAGAAGUUUGAUGACUUUUGUCCCAUGU
Molecule: non-coding RNA, 255 nt
Filed under: Bacillota bacterium
Lineage: Bacteria; Bacillati; Bacillota
Description: Firmicutes bacterium T-box sequence
Rfam family: T-box leader
About the family: Uncharged tRNA acts as the effector for transcription antitermination of genes in the T-box leader family. T-boxes are found upstream of many aminoacyl-tRNA synthetase genes and some amino acid biosynthetic genes usually in Gram-positive bacteria.
Source: RNAcentral